GAUCCUGGCUCAGGAUGAACGCUAGCUACAGGCUUAACACAUGCAAGUCGAGGGGAAACGACAUCGAAAGCUUGCUUUUGAUGGGCGUCGACCGGCGCACGGGUGAGUAACGCGUAUCCAACCUGCCCAUCACUUGGGAAUAACCUUGCGAAAGUAAGACUAAUGCCCAAUGACAUCCCACGAAGACAUCUGAAUGGGAUUAAAGAUUUAUCGGUGAUGGAUGGGGAUGCGU
Molecule: ribosomal RNA, 232 nt
Filed under: uncultured bacterium
Lineage: Bacteria
Description: partial 16S ribosomal RNA
Rfam family: Bacterial small subunit ribosomal RNA
Source: RNAcentral